RNAcentral lists this long non-coding RNA (950 nucleotides) under Vulpes vulpes (red fox). RNAcentral's name for it is "lncRNA (ENSVVUG00000002889.1)". The record is from RNAcentral. Lineage: Eukaryota; Metazoa; Chordata; Mammalia; Carnivora; Canidae.
AGGGAUUGGGAGUGGGAAUAAUAGGUGAAUUUCAAAAGGUAAAAACUUCCAGUUAUAAAAGAAGUAACAGGAUAUAUAACAUACAGAAUGGUAAAGAGAUAGACCUUAAACGUUCAUCACAAGAAAAAUGAGUUAUAGCUAUGCAGACUGAUAAAUAACUAGAUUUAUUAUGAUUAUUAUUUCACACUGUAUACGCACAUUGAAUUAUGUUGUACACCUGAAAGCAAUAAAAUGUUAUAUGUGAAUUAUAUCUCAAUAAAAAUUUCAUUUAAAAUAAAUUUAUUUCCAGGUAUGUUUCUCAUUUAACCAAAGAGGAGAAAUAUCUGUACAGAUGAAAACUGCCAUUAAUUACAAAAGAAUUGGAGACACAAAUAAAUGGCCUAAUGAAGGAUGCUCGGGGCUUGAAAGGGCCGGGGCGCUGCUUGUCCUGCCGCCUGCCGGGCCUUUUGUGCUGUAUAGAGUUGUCUCUCUUGUCGGAGCCAGGAACCAGACAGCUGGAAAACAGGCUUCAAUUCAGCCAUCAAACUGAAUAUUGCGUGAAGAGCAGGGAAGGAAGAGUGCUUCUGAAAAGAAAAGUAGAACAAGAGGAAAAGCAUGACGUGGUGGGCUUGGGGAUUCCUUUAAAGAGUGACUAUACUGAGGGAUGAAUGGUCAGUAAAGCACCUCUCUUGCUGGGUAUGGCUCAGUCUUAAGUCUUGUGUUCUGGUCCAUUUACUUCCUGCUGCUCCUGAAGAGUCAUCCCCCUUAAGAACCUGCUCUAGUGGCCGAAGUGAAUGAAUGCUGGUGUAGUCCCUCCCAGCAGCACAGGCAUGUGUACCCAGGCAUGCUCACACAUGCUCACACACAUAGACAUACACAUCACAUACACACACAUACACACAGUGUUACUGAUUAUUGUCAGCAUUUCAAGAAAAAAAAAUGAGUUCUCAUCUUCCCACUGUGCAGUGGUA